RNAcentral lists this ribosomal RNA (166 nucleotides) under uncultured Escherichia sp. Its description in RNAcentral is "partial 16S ribosomal RNA". It matches the Rfam family "Bacterial small subunit ribosomal RNA", at positions 368 to 525 of the family's 1533-position model. Lineage: Bacteria; Pseudomonadati; Pseudomonadota; Gammaproteobacteria; Enterobacterales; Enterobacteriaceae. The record is from RNAcentral.
ACGAAUGGGCGCAAGCCUGAUGCAGCCAUGCCGCGUGUAUGAAGAAGGCCUUCGGGUUGUAAAGCACUUUCAGCGGGGAGGAAGGGAGUAAAGUUAAUACCUUUGCUCAUUGACGUUACCCGCAGAAGAAGCACCGGCUAACUCCGUGCCAGCAGCCGCGGUAAUA